UUUUAUGGAGAGUUUGAUCCUGGCUCAGGAUGAACGCUGGCGGCGUGCCUAAUACAUGCAAGUCGAGCGAACGGACGAGAAGCUUGCUUCUCUGAUGUUAGCGGCGGACGGGUGAGUAACACGU
This is a ribosomal RNA of 124 nucleotides. It matches the Rfam family "Bacterial small subunit ribosomal RNA", at positions 1 to 118 of the family's 1533-position model.